RNAcentral lists this ribosomal RNA (81 nucleotides) under Bellucia spruceana. Its description in RNAcentral is "partial 26S ribosomal RNA". Lineage: Eukaryota; Viridiplantae; Streptophyta; Magnoliopsida; Myrtales; Melastomataceae. The record is from RNAcentral.
GCUGCGGGCUCCGGACUUUGACAAUCCCAAGUGCGAUCCCAGGUCAGGCGGGGCUACCCCCUGAUUUAGCCUAUCAUUAGC